GACGGAGGAUGCAAGCGUUAUCCGGAAUGAUUGGGCGUAAAGCGUCCGCAGGUGGCAGUUCAAGUCUGCUGUCAAAGACCGGGGCUUAACUUCGGAAAGGCAGUGGAAACUGAACAGCUAGAGUAUGGUAGGGGCAGAGGGAAUUCCUGGUGUAGCGGUGAAAUGCGUAGAGAUCCGGAAGAACACCGGUGGCGAAGGCGGCCUGCUGGGCAGUGGCUGACACUGAGGCGCGACAGCGUGGGGAGCAAACAGG
RNAcentral lists this ribosomal RNA (253 nucleotides) under uncultured bacterium. Its description in RNAcentral is "partial 16S ribosomal RNA". It matches the Rfam family "Bacterial small subunit ribosomal RNA", at positions 524 to 776 of the family's 1533-position model. The record is from RNAcentral.